This is a long non-coding RNA of Lycium barbarum (goji berry), 254 nucleotides long. RefSeq lists it as uncharacterized. NCBI's taxonomy places the organism in Eukaryota, Viridiplantae, Streptophyta, Magnoliopsida, Solanales, Solanaceae. The transcript has 2 exons. The record is from RefSeq and is a predicted model, not a curated record.
AGAAAAACGAAAGAUGCAACAAUUUAACAAAAAAAAUCAAUUAACAAAAAAAAAUCAAACUUCAAUAUUAUAACUAGGUUAUGGACACUGUUGAACUGCAUCAUCGAAACUCCAAAGGUCCAUCGGGCCACCGCCCACAACGCCUUCCACCACCGGAUUCACCGUCGCCGCCACUGAUUGCCCAUCAACAUAAGGUAUCUCAUAAAACUUCAUCAAUGACUCGUAAGGCAUCAACUCCUCAGACAAUUUCAACA